Mycena latifolia is the source of this 93-nucleotide non-coding RNA. The record is from the annotation of a GenBank genome assembly. NCBI's taxonomy places the organism in Eukaryota, Fungi, Basidiomycota, Agaricomycetes, Agaricales, Mycenaceae.
GGCCUGAUAGCACAGCUGGAUAGUGCAUCUACAUUGAUUUCAGAUUCAAGAUUUGUUCUGUGGAGGAUCCCUGUUCAAACCCGGGUCAGGCCA